UGUUUUGGCAGUGGCUGGCUGGCAAUCCUAACUCAGGUUCUGCUCGGCUACAUGGCUGUCUGUCACCUUCUGCUUCCUCCUCCUGUGUCCAGAUUUCCUCUGCGUACAAGAACUCCAGUCAAUGUGGAUUAAGGCUCACACUGCUUCAGUUUGGCCUCACCGUAACUAAUAGAAUCUUCAAAGAUCCCAUUUACAAAUGUGGUCACAUCCUUAGGACUAGAGGGUUUAUUAUUUACUUCUGCUUUGAAAGGAUCUAAGAGGCCAUAGAGAUGAAAGAAGUAUCAGCCUUUCCCCUGAUGGCAAAUGAACAUGCUCACCGCUUAGAGUUGAUAAAGCAUCGUCAUCUUUAAGAGCCUUUCAGUACUUUCCAUUCUACUGGAUAAGGGCUUCUCUGGGAUGGAGGGAACCACUUAUUUUGCCUGUUUUGCCCAUGAGCUCCUGUGAACUAAUGCAUGAAGAAGUCUCCAAAUGAACAUUUCUGCUAAUAGACUACUGUGUACCUCAGAUCAACCCUGCCACUGAGGACAACCAGAAAAACUGAACUUUUUCUUUAGAAACAUAUCUGCUUCAAGGCUGAGAAGAAUCAUAGGAAAAGAUACCAAGCAUGGAAACAAAAUAAACUAAAAACAAAAAUACAGAGAGUAGGUGAUCAGAAUAUGCAAAGCCAGUUUAAAGAGGAUGGCUCAAGGACAAAGGAAACCAACACACCUCAAGGAAGAGUAGCCAUCCCAUAGGGGCUUGGUCUGCUAGGGAAGCUCAGAGUACCAUCUGAAAGCCAGGUGCCCAGGUGUCUGCUUCUCCAGGCAAGAACAUCCUGACUAAGAGACAGAGUUCCUGGGUUAACUCAUCUGAAGCCCUAAAGCAUUCAUCCAUCUGAAUCUUCACCACUAUUCUCCUAGUCAGGAAAGAGAAUGUACCAUUUACUCUGAAAUGGAUAUGCUGGUUCUUGUGACAUUUCUGUUUUGUGUUGCAAACAAAUCCACUGCUAUUCCAGUUAUUCAUCAGUCUCAUGAGCUUGGCUACUGUGAGUGGACCUAGAGGAGAGGUAAUGGAUUGAAUCAGGAGGGCCCAGAGUUCACAUACAAGAAUGGAAUUUCAUUCCCUGAUGGGCAGGGGAAUGUGAUGUCCACUGACUUGGGAGGCAAUCAUGGUGGAAGGAGAACGGUGCCACUCUCCAUAGCACAGUCAUGGAAGGCUUCAAAGAAGAGGACAGAGACAGAGGCAGAGUAUAAAGAAUGAACAGCACAUGUUCUAAGAAAAUGAAGAGGAAGAAGAGUGCCAAGGACACGAGAAGCAUUUGGAUGAACAUGGCUAGCAAGGAAGCAAGGACCAUAUUAUGAAAACCUUGAAGACCUUAGAAUUCUGGACAUUUUAUCCUACCAUGGGUGGAAGGGACGUCAUUGGAAAGUCUUCA
Molecule: long non-coding RNA, 1414 nt
Organism: Choloepus didactylus (southern two-toed sloth)
Lineage: Eukaryota; Metazoa; Chordata; Mammalia; Pilosa; Megalonychidae
Exons: 5
Source: RefSeq, a predicted model, not a curated record